CAGUAAAAGACAGCCUUUAGUGCAUCUUGGCAGGGUAUUAAUGUAAACAUUAAUGUUAAUUUUAUUGAUAUUACUGUUUUUCAAACAGAGAUUGAUGGAGAAAAAAAAAGUAUUAUAUUUUUAUGACAUUCCUGAAUUCUGACUAAUCUAAUGAGUCUAAUAAUCUAUUUCUGAUGUAUGGGGGUACUUGGGUCUUGAUGUAAACAAACAAGUCCAUCAAAUAUGUCAGAAUACCAGAUGUGUUCAUAAGGCCUUGCAGUGUAAAUGCAGCCUAAAUAAAGAGGUACUUUUAAUUUGACAUGUCUUGACAGGAACAGAUGUCAUCAUUAAAGACUUCUGGUCAUUUUUUCCCUGGAACACAAACUGAGAGGGCUGGGAAAAUGAUGAGCGACAGCUGUGAAUGGAGGUAGAGUCUGUUGCUCCUCGUGCAGAUUUGGCACUGGCUUUCCAAACACAUUUCUUCAGGUGUCUUCAAGCUGGUUUAAAUGAACGGGCCUCCUGCUGACAGACAGAUUCUUGAAUGGGUGAUGGUCAGAAUGAAGAGACACAGAUGUGGACAAUUAUCUUUGCACGCUGCACACAUCCCUCACCGAGAGUCUGAGGACAGGGGCUGAUGAUGAAGCCGUGGGAUUGCCCCCUGGAAAUGAUCACACCUGCGUGGAGGUAAUAAGAUGGUGGUUUGCUGAGAGCCGGUUUGAUUACCGAGCUCGGAGACGUGGAGUGUGAUUGGCAGUGGAAUGUAGACAGUGUGAUUAGGGGGGACGGAUCUUGGCUGUUACUUCUCAUGGAGCAAAGGUGUCGAGCGUGAAGAUGUUGGAAAUAUGUCGAAGCGUCAGUUGUAGCUGAGUCAGUCAAUUAUGAGGCAGUGUUGGCGUGCACCAUCUGUAUAUCUUAGCGAUGAGUUUUGUUCAAAAAUCUCCAAAAACAGACUGAAUGACAUCAUCAACAAAUAAACAGUUUCAGAUAAGAUUAGAAAGAAUGCCAUCAAAAAAUAAUCAGACCACAUUUUAUAUAGCCUAUAUUUAGCCAAUAAAAAUUUUAUGAAAUUUAAUAAAAUUAAAAUAUUUGUAACAUAUAGCCUAUAUGUAUCUCAAAAGUUUGGAAUAAUUAAGAUUUUUUUUAAGUCUCUUUUGCUCACCAAGGCUGUAUUUAUUUGAUGAAAAAUACAGUAAAAAUAAGAAAUAUUAUUACAACUUAAAUAUAUUUUUAACUGUAAUUUAUUCCUGUGAUGCAAAGUUUAAUUUUCAACAUCAUUACUCCAAGCUUCAGUGUCACAUGAUCCUUCAGAAAUCAUUUUAAUUUGCUUAAGAAAGGCUUCGUAUUAUAAAUGUUGAAAGUAUUUUUGCUGCUUACUGUUUUUGUUGAAACUGUGAUAUACUACCAUUCCAGAUUUUUAAAGUAAGAUUUUUUUAAGAAAUUAAUGUACUUUUAUUUACCGAUAAUGCAUUAAAUUGAUCAGAAGUCAAAGAAUCCUGGGGAAAUAAAGUAUCGUGGUUGCCACAAAAUUAUUAGGAAGCACAUCUGUUUUCAAUAUUGAUAAUAGUUUACUUUGUCUUACAUCUUGGCAAAUUCUUCUUGCUUGUUUCAAGCACAAACA
Cyprinus carpio carpio is the source of this 1597-nucleotide long non-coding RNA. The record is from Ensembl. Lineage: Eukaryota; Metazoa; Chordata; Actinopteri; Cypriniformes; Cyprinidae.